This 253-nucleotide ribosomal RNA is filed under the name uncultured bacterium. RNAcentral's name for it is "partial 16S ribosomal RNA". It matches the Rfam family "Bacterial small subunit ribosomal RNA", at positions 524 to 776 of the family's 1533-position model. The record is from RNAcentral.
UACGGAGGGGGUUAGCGUUGUUCGGAAUUACUGGGCGUAAAGCGCGCGUAGGCGGAUUAGAAAGUUGGGGGUGAAAUCCCGGGGCUCAACCUCGGAACUGCCUCCAAAACUGCUAGUCUAGAGUUCGAGAGAGGUGAGUGGAAUUCCGAGUGUAGAGGUGAAAUUCGUAGAUAUUCGGAGGUACACCAGUGGCGAAGGCGGCUCACUGGCUCGAUACUGACGCUGAGGUGCGAAAGUGUGGGGAGCAAACAGG